RNAcentral lists this ribosomal RNA (495 nucleotides) under uncultured bacterium. Its description in RNAcentral is "bacterial SSU rRNA". It matches the Rfam family "Bacterial small subunit ribosomal RNA", at positions 30 to 521 of the family's 1533-position model. The record is from RNAcentral.
AUUGAACGCUGGCGGAAUGCUUUACACAUGCAAGUCGAACGGUAGAGGGGGCAACCCCCUUGAGAGUGGCGAACGGGUGAGUAAUAUAUCGGAACGUGCCCAGUCGUGGGGGAUAACGUAGCGAAAGUUACGCUAAUACCGCAUACGAUCUAAGGAUGAAAGCGGGGGAUCGCAAGACCUCGCGCGAUUGGAGCGGCCGAUAUCAGAUUAGGUAGUUGGUGAGGUAAAGGCUCACCAAGCCAACGAUCUGUAGCUGGUCUGAGAGGACGACCAGCCACACUGGAACUGAGACACGGUCCAGACUCCUACGGGAGGCAGCAGUGGGGGAAUUUUUGGACAAUGGACGCAAGUCUGAUCCAGCCAUUCCGCGUGCAGGAUGAAGGCCCUCGGUUGUAAACUGCUUUUGUACGGAACGAAAGGUUUGUCUUAAUACGAUGAGNUCAUGACGGUACCGUAAGAAUAAGACACCGGCUAACUACGUGCCAGCAGCGCGGU